RNAcentral lists this ribosomal RNA (253 nucleotides) under uncultured bacterium. Its description in RNAcentral is "partial 16S ribosomal RNA". It matches the Rfam family "Bacterial small subunit ribosomal RNA", at positions 524 to 776 of the family's 1533-position model. The record is from RNAcentral.
UACGUAGGGUCCGAGCGUUGUCCGGAAUUACUGGGCGUAAAGAGCUCGUAGGUGGUUUGUCGCGUUGUUCGUGAAAACUCACAGCUCAACUGUGGGCGUGCGGGCGAUACGGGCAGACUUGAGUACUGCAGGGGAGACUGGAAUUCCUGGUGUAGCGGUGGAAUGCGCAGAUAUCAGGAGGAACACCGGUGGCGAAGGCGGGUCUCUGGGCAGUAACUGACGCUGAGGAGCGAAAGCGUGAGGAGCGAACAGG